GAUGAGCGCUGGCGGCGUGCUUAACACAUGCAAGUCGAACGAAGCACUUUAACCUGUUUCUUCGGAUGAAGGUUUUUGUGACUGAGUGGCGGACGGGUGAGUAACGCGUGGGUAACCUGCCUCAUACAGGGGGAUAACAGUUAGAAAUGACUGCUAAUACCGCAUAAGACCACAGAGCCGCAUGGCUCGGUGGGAAAAACUCCGGUGGUAUGAGAUGGACCCGCGUCUGAUUAGGUAGUUGGUGGGGUAACGGCCUACCAAGCCAACGAUCAGUAGCCGACCUGAGAGGGUGACCGGCCACAUUGGGACUGAGACACGGCCCAAACUCCUACGGGAGGCAGCAGUGGGGAAUAUUGCACAAUGGGGGAAACCCUGAUGCAGCGACGCCGCGUGAGCGAAGAAGUAUUUCGGUAUGUAAAGCUCUAUCAGCAGGGAAGAAAAUGACGGUACCUGACGAAGAAGCACCGGCUAAAUACGUG
Molecule: ribosomal RNA, 479 nt
Filed under: uncultured bacterium
Lineage: Bacteria
Description: partial 16S ribosomal RNA
Rfam family: Bacterial small subunit ribosomal RNA
Source: RNAcentral